This 393-nucleotide ribosomal RNA is filed under the name uncultured bacterium. Its description in RNAcentral is "partial 16S ribosomal RNA". It matches the Rfam family "Bacterial small subunit ribosomal RNA", at positions 338 to 729 of the family's 1533-position model. The record is from RNAcentral.
CCUACGGGAGGCAGCAGUGAGGAAUAUUGGUCAAUGGCCGCAAGCCUGAACCAGCCAAGUCGCGUGAAGGAUGACGGUCCUAUGGGUUGUAAACCUCUUUUGUCAGGGAGCAAAGUGCGCCACGUGUGGCGUUUUGCGAGUACCUGAAGAAAAAGCAUCGGCUAACUCCGUGCCAGCAGCCGCGGUAAUACGGAGGAUGCGAGCGUUAUCCGGAUUUAUUGGGUUUAAAGGGUGCGCAGGCGGAAUGUAAAGUCAGCGGUAAAAUUUCGGGGCUCAACCCCGUCGUGCCGUUGAUACUGGCGGUCUUGAGUGAGCGUGAGGUAGGCGGAAUGCGUGGUGUAGCGGUGAAAUGCAUAGAUAUCACGAAGAACCCCGAUUGCGAAGGCAGCAUAC